GAGGGGGGGGAGUGGGGUGACCCCUGCCUUGCCCAGGCAGAGGGGGAAAUAGCCCCAGAUGUUUCUCAGUGGUUCCAUGCUGUGGCUGCUGGCCUAUGUAUCCGGUGCCAGCAUUUCCCAGGAAGCCGUGCCAAGCCAAGGCCACUAAAAGAGAUCGGAUCCCCAGCUGUCUGGCAUGAGUAGGGGGAUGGAACAGAUGAAGGUUGGCGGCCGAUCAGCAGGUUUAUUACCCUCAACGGGGCAGAUCAAACAGCUUGGAAACCACCAUUUCCCAGAGGAGAGUGGGUUUUUGGUAAAAGCAAUCACGGUCACACCCUUCUACCUGCCCUGGUGAAUUAUUUUCCAGUUUGUUCCAGCCCUGUCAAUUGAUGGGGUCUCUGGGUUACUUACUGCAGUUGUUCUGAAUCAGCACCAGAAAUGGAAUAAACUUCCCAUAUAUUGAUUUCACAAGCUUGAGGGAAGACAUUUGCUAUUUAUUUACUUACUGGAAGGAUUUAUGAAUCACUUUUCUGCUGAAGACGUCUUAAGGAGACUCUGGGAUGAGAGGCAAGUUUAAGUGCUUUGUACAUUGGAAGCUACUUGGGAAAAUUCAGUACUGGUGAAUUAUUUGCCCAAACAUGGAAGAGUGUGCUACUGCUUUGCAAGCAAAAGCAUAAGUGGAAUUUUUGCAACAAUCAGGAUUUACAUCGCCAACAUUGAAACAGUAGGGUAUAAUAUAUGUACUUAUCUUUCCUUCUUUUGAAAUUCCUUUUCCUCGGGAAGCGC
RNA transcript from Ornithorhynchus anatinus (platypus), 765 nucleotides. RefSeq lists it as uncharacterized. The transcript is spliced from 4 exons. The record is from RefSeq and is a predicted model, not a curated record. Lineage: Eukaryota; Metazoa; Chordata; Mammalia; Monotremata; Ornithorhynchidae.